Molecule: ribosomal RNA, 257 nt
Filed under: uncultured bacterium
Lineage: Bacteria
Description: partial 16S ribosomal RNA
Rfam family: Bacterial small subunit ribosomal RNA
Source: RNAcentral
UCAUACGUAGGACCCAAGCGUUAUCCGGAAUUACUGGGCGUAAAGAGUUGCGUAGGUGGCAGAGUAAGUAGGAAGUGAAAGCGUUCGGCUCAACCGAAUAUACAUUUCUUAAACUGCUCAGCUAGAGAACGAGAGAGGUAAUUGGAAUUCCCAGUGUAGGAGUGAAAUCCGUAGAUAUUGGGAGGAACACCGAUGGCGUAGGCAGAUUACUGGCUCGUUUCUGACACUAAGGCACGAAAGCGUGGGUAGCAAACAGG